UCUUGUCGAGGUAACAAGUACAAAAUUCCAAAAAAAAAACUACAAAUAUUUUCGGUCUAUUUUCGGUGAACAUCUUUUUUAAAAAAUAUAUUUUGAUAUUUGUUUCGUUACUUGUUUUGUUAUGAGUUCUUAUUAGGCUUAAGCAUAAAGUGUUAAAGAGAAAUGUUUACGGAGGGUGUCCAACCUGAUCUCGGCCGCCUGAUGCUGCAUUCGUACACACAAAUAUAUAUAAUAUAUAUAUGUUGAAUACGUUUAAAUAUAUUGAAUUCACACUUGACGAACACUUGACGUACACUUGAAUUACACGGUGUUAAAUGCAAAUAAACUAUUGGGUGCCAUGAAAGCAAACAACUACACUGAACUAACGACAAACUAUGAACACUCAAGCAGGCCGGUCAUAUGAAUUUCCCAGAUGCGCAAAACAUACAUACAUACAUAAACAGACUUGGAGAACAAAGGCAUACGAAAAAUCUGAAGUUAAAAAUUUUCUGUACCCAAAUUCGCCGUAACCCCGAUAUCGUGUGAGAAUGGAAGAGUUCUCAACGAAGACUUGAUCUGGAUUCUGCAGUGCCAUGCAGCUGGAGACGACUAUGAAUUCUCAAUCUUUGAUCGAUGGAUUCGGAAUUGGCAGUGACGAUCGUUUGAAGGCUGGAGAUGACCCAUUAGGAGGAGAUGGCAUUCUCUGCGGCCAACUAAAGAUUGGGAAUAUACGGACGUGAACCGCCCAGCUGCACCACCGCAAGAACCAACCACCCAGUCGCUCUAUUCGUCCUUGUCCGGCAAUAUUAUAUAGUAAACUUUAUGGC
This is a long non-coding RNA of Drosophila subpulchrella, 806 nucleotides long. RefSeq lists it as uncharacterized. Lineage: Eukaryota; Metazoa; Arthropoda; Insecta; Diptera; Drosophilidae. The record is from RefSeq and is a predicted model, not a curated record. The transcript has 3 exons.